AGUUUCAGUAGUACAUGCCACUUCUCUGCUCAAAUCCCACCCUUUAAAAUCAAGAUUCGACUCGGAUCUGCAAAGUUAUGAAGGGUGUGGACAUGAACUUUUCUCAAUACAGCACGCUAAAUGGUGGCAGACAAGCAUGGGGAAGACAACCAUAUCCAGCCGGAAAUGCUGUCAGACAUUAUUACUCUGUGGGGAGUCUCAUAACAGGCUGAAAGGGUAAAGACAAAGCUGAAAAUGAAGAGGAUGAAUGCUGGGAGAAAGCGUGCUUCCUGUCACUGGGAAGGAGCCUAGAAAGAGGUGAGGGCGAUUGACUGCAGCCGAACCCAUGCGGAGCCGCAGACUUCACCUGCUCAUAAACGGGGCAUUGACGAGGAACACGUGUCAGAUGUAAUCAGUGUUGUGACUGUGUCUGUGUGUAGAGGCCAUGGCUGACUUGCUCUGAUGGCUUCUUGACUGUCAGGAAACAAAAGUGGCAAAUGGUGUAUGUGGCAACAACAGUGGUCGAGCAUAAAAAAUGAAUUUGAGCUCACUUGGUCCCCUGCAUUUCAUUAAUCUGAGGCUUUUUCACAGCUCUAUACAAUCACAACAAAAUAGGCCCUGAGCCAAGUCACAAUUAGUUCUGCCAGGGAAA
This is a long non-coding RNA of Megalops cyprinoides (Indo-Pacific tarpon), 631 nucleotides long. RefSeq lists it as uncharacterized. NCBI's taxonomy places the organism in Eukaryota, Metazoa, Chordata, Actinopteri, Elopiformes, Megalopidae. The record is from RefSeq and is a predicted model, not a curated record. The transcript is spliced from 3 exons.